Molecule: non-coding RNA, 798 nt
Organism: Cyanistes caeruleus (blue tit)
Lineage: Eukaryota; Metazoa; Chordata; Aves; Passeriformes; Paridae
Source: RefSeq, a predicted model, not a curated record
ACUUGGCAGAAACUUGGGAAUAGCUUUUGCUUUGUUUGAGGCAAUCCCAAAAUCCACUACUGAGUGUUGCUUUCUGGUGUCCGCACAUUCUCUGAGAUGGGGGACAGGGAGGGGGAGAAGAGGUGUCUCUGUGUGUUUUCCACCCACCCUACUGCUUUUCACAGGGGAAAUUUCAACUUUCUCAGUUUGCUGUUUGCAGGAAGGGGCCGGGAGUCUCCCAGGAGACCCUGGCACAGCUCCCCCGAGACUCCCCGGGACAGGCAGGCCUGUUCAGAGGCAAUGCCGGUGCCGUUCUCCACUGGGAUCUGCAGGGGAGGCUAAAGUAGCACGACUGGCCGCAGAGGUGCACUGGCCUAGAAAGUUCCCAGAUCCCCCAUCACAGCCCAACCGACCAAAUAAACAAAUAAACGGUGGCACACACCCGCUCCCUGCCCUUCCUCCCCCAGUCUGUACCCAUCCCUGCCAAGGCCCGCUCCUGGGGCCUGCCCUGUGCCUCAUCCUCGGCAUGUUUUGGAGGCGCAUCUGGAUUUCUGGAGGAGCUGAGGGGCUGCCUCAGCUUCCAGAGGAGUGGCGAGUCGGGAUGGCCAGACCUGAGGUCACUGUGGCCCCACAGGGGCACCUGCCUUGCCCUGCAGCUCUCCCACCGCUCCACCCAGUGAAAGGCCCUGGACUCGCCGGGGCUUCCCUGCAGCCCCUCAGAGCAGAGAGCCUGCAGUUCCCCGGGGGAUCUCUAACCUCCGUCUGCCGUGUUUACAGUCACUUAUUCGGCUCUGCGCAAACAUGCUUUUCUUCAGCAUG